GACGAACGCUGGCGGCGUGCUUAACACAUGCAAGUCGAACGGUGACCUCGAGAGCUUGCUCUUGGGUGAUCAGUGGCGAACGGGUGAGUAACACGUGAGUAACCUGCCCCAGACUCUGGAAUAACCCCGGGAAACCGGAGCUAAUACCGGAUACGAGACGGAGCCGCAUGGCUACCGUUUGGAAAGUUUUUCGGUCUGGGAUGGACUCGCGGCCUAUCAGUUAGUUGGUGAGGUAACGGCUCACCAAGACGACGACGGGUAGCCGGCCUGAGAGGGCGACCGGCCACACUGGGACUGAGACACGGCCCAGACUCCUACGGGAGGCAGCAGUGGGGAAUAUUGCACAAUGGGCGAAAGCCUGAUGCAGCGACGCCGCGUGAGGGAUGAAGGCCUUCGGGUUGUAAACCUCUUUCAGCAGGGAAGAAGCGAAAGUGACGGUACCUGCAGAAGAAGCACCGGCUAACUACGUGC
RNAcentral lists this ribosomal RNA (471 nucleotides) under uncultured bacterium. RNAcentral's name for it is "bacterial SSU rRNA". It matches the Rfam family "Bacterial small subunit ribosomal RNA", at positions 28 to 508 of the family's 1533-position model. The record is from RNAcentral.